GAUGAACGCUGGCGGCGUGCCUAAUACAUGCAAGUCGAGCGAACAGACGAGGAGCUUGCUCCUCUGACGUUAGCGGCGGACGGGUGAGUAACACGUGGAUAACCUACCUAUAAGACUGGGAUAAAUUCGGGAAACCGGAGCUAAUACCGGAUAACAUGUUGAACCGCAUGGUUCAACAGUGAAAGACGGUCUUGCUGUCGCUUAUAGAUGGAUCCGCGCCGCAUUAGCUAGUUGGUAAGGUAACGGCUUACCAAGGCAACGAUGCGUAGCCGACCUGAGAGGGUGGUAGGCCACACUGGAACUGAGCCACGGUCCAGACUCCUACGGGAGGCAGCAGUAGGGAAUCUUCCGCAAUGGGCGAAAGCCUGACGGAGCAACGCCGCGUGAGUGAAGAAGGUCUUCGGAUCGUAAAACUCUGUUAUUAGGGAAGAACAAAUGUGUAAGUAACUAUGCACGUCUUGACGGUACCUAAUCAGAAAGCCACGGCUAACUACGUG
Molecule: ribosomal RNA, 497 nt
Filed under: uncultured bacterium
Lineage: Bacteria
Description: partial 16S ribosomal RNA
Rfam family: Bacterial small subunit ribosomal RNA
Source: RNAcentral